AGUCCUGGCGAGAGCCGAGGGCUCCCCGGGUUCAAAGGGCCGCAGCCCCGAGGGAACGCCCUCCUUGCUGUGCCCCGGGGGGCAGAAGCGGACUGCUGGGCGGUGGGACCGGCCUGGGCCACGGUGGCAAUUACUGUUUCCUCAAGCCUGGAGUGUAUGGUUAUGGGACAGCCACUUCCUCCUUCAAAUCACAUCCAUUAAUCUGUGUGGGCAAAGUCCAUCACUAUCAUCUAUUGAUCAUAUUUGGCUUGGGUGGAACAGAUUUUCAACUGUCACAAGUAAAAUACUCCCUACAGACCAGGUAAAUUCAUACAAACCCAACAGACUAUGCUUUUUUUUUUUUUUUUUUGUGAGACAGGGUCUCUCUUCUGUCACCCAGGUUGGAGUGCAGUGGCGCGAUCAUGGCUCACUGCAUUUUUGACUUCCAUUGCUCCUCCUACCUCGGCUUCCCAAGUAGCUGGGACUACACGCAUGUGCCACCAUGCCUAGUGAAUCUUUUGUAUUUUUAGUAGAGACAGGGUUUUGCCAUGUUGUCCAGUCUGGCCUCAAAGUCCUGGGCUCAA
RNAcentral lists this long non-coding RNA (563 nucleotides) under Homo sapiens (human). RNAcentral describes it as "non-protein coding lnc-NR2F2-2:2". The record is from RNAcentral. Lineage: Eukaryota; Metazoa; Chordata; Mammalia; Primates; Hominidae.